GUUGAAGUUUAGGGUUUAGAGUUGAAGUUUAGGGUUUAGGGUUUAGAGUUGAUGUUUUAGGGUUUAGAGUUGAAAGUUUAGGGUUUAGGGUUUAGAGUUGAUGUUUCGGUGUUUAGGAUUUAGAGUUGAUGUUUUAGGGUUUAUGGUUCGUAUUAAAAAAAAUAUGGUUUAGGUUUGAUGGUUUAGAGUUGAGUUUUAGGGUUUAGGGUUUG
Molecule: long non-coding RNA, 212 nt
Filed under: Brassica napus (rape)
Lineage: Eukaryota; Viridiplantae; Streptophyta; Magnoliopsida; Brassicales; Brassicaceae
Description: long non-coding RNA (BNAP_LNC010229)
Source: RNAcentral